RNAcentral lists this transfer-messenger RNA (347 nucleotides) under Deltaproteobacteria bacterium RIFCSPHIGHO2_02_FULL_44_16. It matches the Rfam family "transfer-messenger RNA". From Rfam's summary of the family: Bacterial tmRNA, also known as 10Sa RNA or SsrA, is named for its dual tRNA and mRNA-like properties. Its role is to liberate the mRNA from a stalled ribosome. The record is from RNAcentral. Lineage: Bacteria; Deltaproteobacteria. RNAcentral also lists the same sequence under 2 other names.
GGGGGCGAAAAGAUUUCGACGGGAAGAGUCGAAGUCAUCGCUGCAUGCCGACCUGUCACGAAGUCGUAAAACCCGUGGCACAAAAAAUAAAUAACGCAGAAAUGCGCCUUGCUGCUUAACUAAAGCAGCACGUCAGCCAGACGACGCCUGCUAGACUGGAAGACGCCGCAGCAGGCUGGCCACUUCAAGUUCUCUCUGGCGCGAAGUGGUAAGACCCAUCAGAGAUAGUUGCUUUACGAUCCUCUCCUUGGGAGCAAAAAGCGACGAAUCUCAAUUCAAGGAAUAAGCAUGUAGACGCGUUGAUAACGCCUUUCCGGACGACGGUGCAAUUCCGUCCGCCUCCACCA